Molecule: ribosomal RNA, 532 nt
Filed under: uncultured bacterium
Lineage: Bacteria
Description: bacterial SSU rRNA
Rfam family: Bacterial small subunit ribosomal RNA
Source: RNAcentral
AGAGUUUGAUCAUGGCUCAGGACGAACGCUGGCGGCGUGCUUAACACAUGCAAGUGGAGCGACGAACCGGGCUUCGGCCCGGGGCAAAGCCGCGAACGGGUGAGUAUCACGUGGGUAACCUGCCCCGAUGACCGGGAUAACCCGAGGAAACUCGAGCUAAUACCGGAUGUGCUCCCAAUCCAUCAGGGUUGGGAAUAAAGGAAGCUUCGGCCUCCGCAUUGGGAUGGGCCCGCGGCCCAUUAGCUUGUUGGUGAGGUAACGGCUCACCAAGGCCACGAUGGGUAGCUGGUCUGAGAGGACGAUCAGCCACACUGGGACUGAGACACGGCCCAGACUCCUACGGGAGGCAGCAGUGGGGAAUCUUGCGCAAUGCGCGAAAGCGUGACGCAGCAACGCCGCGUGAGGGAAGAAGGCCUUCGGGUUGUAAACCUCUUUCAGGAGGGACGAAGGUUCAGGCGCGAAUAGCGUCCUGGACUGACGGUACCUCCAGAAGAAGCCCCGGCUAACUACGUGCCAGCAGCGGCGGUAAUUC